UUCGCUCCUUUAACCCCCUUAGCAACGACCCCGCGGCGCCCGAUCCCGCGCCUGUGUCUCGCCCUCAGUUCAUGAGCAAAAUCCUGAAUCGGAAAAGCCCGGCGAUGAGGAAAAGCAGCGCAAUUAAAACCAAAACCCAGCCAUGAGUUCUGCCCGCGCGCACAAGCAGGGCUUCACUUUAUUGACGAAUUUUUAGUCAGGCUUUCUUUCGAGGCUGCCCUGAGAAAGCAGAGCGCUGAUUGGUGCGUGGCGAGGUCCUCAGAGAGCGACUUGCCUUGGAUUGGAUAGGAAGCAGGCAAGUUGACCCGCCCACGGAGGGGGCUUAGGUGGAGAGCCUCGGAGGAGUACUGUCGCGGCGUUUGUCUAGGCGUCAGGAAAUACGAUUCCCAGCAUGCACCGUUGCCGCCGCAAGCCAGGGAGCUCCAGGCCGGGGCUCUGUAGUGCAUGCCGGGAGUUGUAGUGUGCCAGGGACCCAGUGCUGCCGGUGGAGGCGGAGGAGCUUCGCCCAGACGCUGCUGAGGGAGGGAGGAGCGGCGCCGGAGACGGGCUGCUGGGACCCCCCGGGGCUCUCAGGGCUUUGAUGCUGCCAGUGCAGGGCUCCAUAGGCAACAGCCUGGACGCCCUGGAGGGCUCGUGGGCAGCCUCCCCGAGUCCGCUGUUAACCCAGGACCGUUGCGUGUUACCCAGCGGGGCGGGCGCGCAGGAGCGUUUCCACGUGCUUCCCCCGCAGGCAGCGCAGUGUAAACAGUAGAUCCAGGCUUGGUGUCAAGUCUACCACAGGGCUCGGCUCAGCCAUGGGCCCAAGGCAGGGGAGAUUUGCACAGCCUACCUAGCCCAGUGGUUCUCGACAUUUUUGUCCCAUUUGUAAACGUGGAUGGCCGGUCCAGACCCAGUGCCCCUUAGGCCCGAGGCCCCCCUCCGUGUGCGGGAGCUGGGGACAGGUGUGGGCCAUGGAGCUGUGCCAGCCUGCAAGGAAAAAGCCAGAGGUGCCUGUAUAUAGUGAGCUGAACCAGAACUCUGGAAACAAGUAUCCCACAUUUUUCAUAGAAUAUCAGGUUACCUGGAGAAGUUGUGAAACCUUCAUCCCUGGGAAUUUUCAAGAACAGGUUUCACAGAUACUUGGCUAGAAUGAUUUAGUCCGGGACAAUCCUGCUUGAACAGGGAACUCAUGACCUUCCAAGCAUAUUUUCCUGUGAUCCUAUUUUUUUCAUCAAUAUUUGGAACUUCUGAAAGACCUUCCAGAAAUCAGCCUUAAAAUAAAAUAAAAGGCAGAGCCUUGCAGUCACUGUCCUACAAUUUUUUCAUGGAGCACACCAAAGAAAAUGGGCCACUUACCUCUUGGAUCCAUUUUGUAGAGGGAAAAUUCACCAAAAUAAUCUUUACAUGCUCUCACUCUCUCUCUCACACAAACAUAUACACAACUAUAUCUAAAGAAUGCUCAGAUUCCAAAGUCCAAUAUUCAAAAGAAAAGAAAUUCCAGAAUUGAGUUUGUCUACUCUGUCUUAAUUUGGGCACAUGCGCAUGUGCAUUAUGGUUUAGUUUGUAAUUACAUGAUCCCAUACUAUUCUUUCUACAGUACCUCUGCAUUGCAACAGCUGUAGGGUAUGACAUGGUGACUAGACGGAGUCUAUGACUUGGUAGAGAAAGGAGGACAGACAGCAAUGGUGAAAGCUAAUAGAGGAGAUGAUGGAUUGUAUAUGAUGCACAAUUGGCAUUGUAUAGCUAUACAUGCCUGUGUAUUCCUCCCUGGCUGCUUGGGGCCUUACUAACAACCAAUAAAGAUUUUCUGUGUCUA
Molecule: long non-coding RNA, 1795 nt
Organism: Alligator mississippiensis (American alligator)
Lineage: Eukaryota; Metazoa; Chordata; Crocodylia; Alligatoridae
Exons: 3
Source: RefSeq, a predicted model, not a curated record